UUGUAGCAGCCUUUACUCUGCCGAGGUUAGGGAUGUUAGGAAGCCUCUUUGUCCCCGAAGCGCCGAUGAAAAUUAGGAUCAAGUUCCUCAGGGUCAUGAAGUCAAUUAUUAGUGGCCUCCAGCCCUCCAAACGGCAAUUGGAGGAAAGGUAAUCUACGCUACGAGAACUGACACUGUGGACGUCGCAAUUGCCAGUACCGGUUCUGAAGGUUACGGAGUUGCGUAUAGAGAAUGGGGAACCCGUGCCUUGACUGGGAAUGGUAGUGAUAUCUUGUGCUCAAUCUGUCAAAGGCAAGAAGGAGGAGGGAUUUAUUUGAGGCCCCUACGACCUGGGGAAUCCCACAGGAAUUAUGGACAGCAGUGGCAUCAUCGGAAGAAAUCCUGAGCCUCCCAGAGUGACCACCCCAAAGCAGUUACACUCAAGUGGAGUUAAAUUUCAGUUAUCCCCAUGGAUCUCCUACAUCUUUGGAGACACCUUCAAAGGGCUAGGCUCAGCAAGAGGCAGUCCCAAUAUAUGGAGGAACAGAAGACUGAGAGUAUACCAGUCUCUACUGAGACAGCCCCCAAACCCGGCAGAACUUUCAGGU
Nycticebus coucang (slow loris) is the source of this 587-nucleotide long non-coding RNA. RefSeq lists it as uncharacterized. The record is from RefSeq and is a predicted model, not a curated record. NCBI's taxonomy places the organism in Eukaryota, Metazoa, Chordata, Mammalia, Primates, Lorisidae. The transcript has 3 exons.